This is a long non-coding RNA of Nematolebias whitei (Rio pearlfish), 424 nucleotides long. RefSeq lists it as uncharacterized. The transcript is spliced from 3 exons. The record is from RefSeq and is a predicted model, not a curated record. NCBI's taxonomy places the organism in Eukaryota, Metazoa, Chordata, Actinopteri, Cyprinodontiformes, Rivulidae.
CCCAAGUACACACCACCUACCAUGGACCACUUGUCAAUAAGUUAAUCAUCUUGUUAUAAAGUGGAGAAGAGCUGCUCUGCGCUUUAAACAGAAAAUGUAUGACGUGUCUGGGAGCAGAUCCAGAGAAAGCUGAUUGAGCAGAGGAAGACUGUGGAGAUGAUGGGGUCACCAUGCAGUCUGAGGAAAGGCCUGAGAAUGAGGGAGUGGAGGAUGAGGAGGAGAGUGAGCCGCCUCCCUGAAAUUUGUCCAGAAAGUCUCCACUGGAGGAGCUUUUUGCUGAGGAAGAGGCACAUAAUGUAAUGUCACAGCUCCAUGUCCAUGAAGAAACAAGUGGAGAGAGGGCUGCACAUGUACCAGAACAUUCUACCAGCCGUUCUGUCUGAGGACCUGCUGCUGGUGCUGGAACCAACACAAGACUUAUCCU